This 253-nucleotide ribosomal RNA is filed under the name uncultured bacterium. RNAcentral's name for it is "partial 16S ribosomal RNA". It matches the Rfam family "Bacterial small subunit ribosomal RNA", at positions 524 to 776 of the family's 1533-position model. The record is from RNAcentral.
UACGUAGGGUGCGAGCGUUAGUCGGAAUUACUGGGCGUAAAGCGUGCGCAGGCGGUUCGUUAAGUUCGAUGUGAAAGCCCCGGGCUCAACCUGGGAACUGCAUUGGAAACUGGCGAGCUUGAGUGCGGCAGAGGGGGGUGGAAUUCCGCGUGUAGCAGUGAAAUGCGUAGAGAUGCGGAGGAACACCGAUGGCGAAGGCGGCAUCCUGGACCGGUAUUGACGCUGAGGCGCGAAAGCUAGGGGAGCAAACGGG